Molecule: small RNA, 1032 nt
Filed under: Pan troglodytes (chimpanzee)
Lineage: Eukaryota; Metazoa; Chordata; Mammalia; Primates; Hominidae
Description: processed transcript
Source: RNAcentral
CUUUGGCCGUGAGAGGAGGAGAGAAAGAAACCAAAAGCCUCUUAGCAACACAGACCCUUUGCUGCUGCUGUUGCUGCUGCUGCUGCUGUUGCUGCUGCUGCUACUGCUGCUGCUGCUACUGCUGCUGCUUGGCCCUGGCUGGAGACAUCUCACUACACCCAGGAGCAGCCACUUCCCCAGCUCUCCUCCUCCUCCUUCGCCUCCUCCUCCUCCACUCCCCCCCUUUAUUACCCUUUGUGUCAUCCUCCACAGCUCCAGGGAAGGCACUCAAAAGUGGGGGGCAGGAAAGCCCACAUAUGACAGUGGACAUAGAGGACAACGCAGAUAUAGAACAUUUCUUUUAUCACAAGUCUCGCUCUGUCUUCCAGGCUGGAGUGCAGGAGUGCAGUGGUGCCAUCGCUCCCUGCAACCUCCGCCUCCCGGGUUCAAGCGAUUCUCCUGCCUCAGCCUUCUGAGUAACUGGGACUACAUGCGCGUGCCACCACGCUCGGCUAAUUUUUUGUAUUUUUAGUAGAGAUGGGGUUUCACUGUGUUAUCCAGGAUGGUCUCGAUCUCCAGACCUCAUGACCCGCCCGCCUCGGCCUUCCAAAGUGCUGGGAUUACAGUCGUGUGCCACCGCGCUUGGCCGUUUAUUGAAUAGGUUUUUCUUUACCAUUGAUUUUCAGUGUCUACUUGGUCUUAUAAUUGUAUUUCCAUAUGUGUAUGGGUCAGCUUCUGAACUCACUAUUGUGUUGCAUUGGUGAAGUAGUUCUGAAUCUUCCCUUAAUUGCUGUAAGUUUAGAUAAGUCUUGGUAGUUGAUAAUGUAAGACAUGUCACAUAGUACUCUGUUAGAAAUUUCAUAAUCAGUUUGGCAUGUUCUAUAAGAAAUCUUGUGGGGAUUUUGAUUGGAAUUGAUCUAAUUAUUAUAAUUUAAUUUUAUGUCCAAGACCAUGGAAUACCUCUCCUUAUAUUUUACUCUACUUUAAUGUCUCUCAAAGUUUUGAAAUCUUCCCUGUAACUUUCUUAUGUGUAGUCUUGGUACUUUAAAAUUC